GUCUUGGCGUCUACCCCGUGGUGUGAUUGGGAGCCUGGAAUGAAUGGAUACAUGCCAAGUACUUAGCACGCCGCCUGGCACACGGAGGAGGCAGUGUGGGAGCAGCCCAGAUCCUGGCACCCACGUCUCCAUCAGGAAACCUCUAACACGCAUGUCAAACGCACGGCUCACAACGAAUAUUUCUGCGGCCCCGCCAAUGUAACGACGCCCAGCUGACCGCCCCCGUUCUGCGGAGCUGUGAUGAUUUCAUACUCGGCGAGGAGCUGGGUCCUUUCAGACUUGUUCUUGCUAAAUGAGAACAUGACAACAGGAGAAGCAGCACUGAAGCAGCGGCGGUGUGGCAGGUGGUUAGGUGCGGCGGUUAGAGGCAGACAGACCAGGCUGCGAUUGUGAGUCUGCCUCCGAGGAGCCGUGAGGCCUGGUGCAAUCACCUUCCCCCAUUAGGCCUCAGUUUACUGAUCUGCAGAGUGGGUGGAAUAUCAUCUACCCACAGAGCCCGGUGCCGGAAGCCCAGGGGCAUCUGUUGCUCUGUCACCAGGCGCCCCACCUCCCCGCUCACCCCUGCGCCCCGCAGUCCCGAGGGCCUACAUGCGGGCAGCGAUGCCGAGGCCAGGCUGCCCGGGUCUGCAUCCCGAACACCAGCCACGCCAUCCCCUGCACCGGUUUCUCACCUCCCGGUGCCUCCGCUUCCCCACAUAGGGAACAGGGACGACAGCAGCACCUGCCUCCCACCACUGCUUUGGGGAUUAAACUGGUUAAU
This is a long non-coding RNA of Eptesicus fuscus (big brown bat), 760 nucleotides long. RefSeq lists it as uncharacterized. NCBI's taxonomy places the organism in Eukaryota, Metazoa, Chordata, Mammalia, Chiroptera, Vespertilionidae. The transcript has 3 exons. The record is from RefSeq and is a predicted model, not a curated record.